Peromyscus californicus insignis is the source of this 1937-nucleotide long non-coding RNA. RefSeq lists it as uncharacterized. The transcript has 3 exons. NCBI's taxonomy places the organism in Eukaryota, Metazoa, Chordata, Mammalia, Rodentia, Cricetidae. The record is from RefSeq and is a predicted model, not a curated record.
AAUAUUUCCAAAAAGCAACGGAGACAGAGUUCAUCAAAAAGAAGAUUGAAGAGAGUCUCUAAUACACCCCUGCUGCUAACCGUGGAAGUGCAAGAAUGUCGAGGGACCUUGGCUCAACAUUCCACCACCCCCGACCGACCGCAUAUGGUAUGGUUUCCGGAAGCCACCGUACGUGGAGCUGAAAGCUCGGCCAAAACUUGGAGAGAGAGAAGUGACUUUGGUUCAUGUGACGGAGUGGAUAGAGAAGAAACUGGAGCAAGAGUUUCAGAAAGUUUUUGUCAUGCCAAACAUGGAUGAUGUUUAUAUCCCUAUAAUGCACUCGGCCAUGGACCCUCGCUCCACUUCCUGCCUCCUGAAAGACCCCCCUGUGGAGGCCUCUGACCAGCUGUGAUGGGUGAAAAUGGGACAUUCCCAGUAUGAGACCUAGCUUGAGGUGUGGGAUUUGUGGCUGCCAUCUGUGCUGUGGGGCUGGCCUUUACUGGUCCACAGCCACUCUCUCUUAAAGGACUGCUUCUGCCCUCUGCCUGCGGUGCCCAUUCUACUGUGAGGUGGCGUUCCCUGCACCCGGUGACUAGUGUCUGGUUUUCGGUUGCAAAGCUUGGACUGGCAAAGGAGACUGGAAGAACCAUCGUGGUGGGGCCAGAAGUUACAGUUGACUAACACCGUGGCUUGCUUUUUUUUUUUUUUUUUUAAAGUCUACCAGGUUUUGUGGCAGCAAGAGUACAUUUGGAUCGAGCUGUACAACUGGAAGCCUUCCCCUUGCCUCUUGAUUCCUCCAAAGCUUUUCCUCAGGCAGCUGGUGCACAAUGGAACAUUUUUCCACUCUACACUUUGUACGCAUGAUUGCAGCCCUCCACACUUGAAGAAUGUCACUGUGGUAACCUGUGUGGAGUGUGGUUUUGUGAGCCAUUUCAUUGGUGGUAAAGAUAGGCAUAGCAACUCUUUUUUCAUAUUAAAUUGUGCAUUUUGGAAGCAAGUAGCCAUAGGACACAUACCCACAAACACACUUUCAGCUGGGGCGGGGACAGUGGGUUUCAUGUGAACAUCAGGCAAAGCCAUGAGAUCAAACUAUCCCAAAUGAGGUACAAUCACCUUGCUUCUAACCAAUCCUGAUAAUUUCCUGGAGACAUGAGCAUAUGUGACAAUAUCACACACUGCACACAAUGACUGAUUGUUCCUCCCUGGUACUGAUGGAAUGGGGCCAGAAAGCCGGAGCCAAGCUGUUCUUUUCUGGUUUUCUGUGUGCUCCAGGAAGCCUCAUGUGGGAUGGGAGGGCCUUAUUCAUCUAACUGGUUUGGGAGGUUUGUGGGCAGUCCCCUUCUCUGAUGGCCAAAGGAGGACUGUUUACUUCCUAGUCAGCGUCAAGCACUACAUUUCCACGUGCACUUGUGACCUUUCUUUAAUGUUGCCAACUUAAGUUUGUGCAUUGUGUCAGAAUGUUUAGUUUACAAAUUGGGGCUCUAAUUGCAUAAUUUGCUUUGAGAAGACCUAAUACAAUUUUGUUCAAAGCUGCAUCCAAUAUCAGAAUUACCUUGGGUAACUUUUGAUAAUUUAAUAUCUGUGGACAGAGCUAAUAGUGUUUUUUUUUUAAACAGCACCUUGCCUGAAGAUGACUUUAAAGAAAUUAAUAUAUUAAAAAAUUAUAUUUGAACCUUUGAUUAUUUUAAUCAUCCCAUUAAAACAUGACAGAUUAUUUGAUCAUUCCAGUCAAUGUACUGCCCUAAUUACUCAUUGUAUAGGCCAGUUUGCCUAUGAGAGUCCACAUGUCUUGUUCACUGUUCCUUUUCUGUGCAGUAGCAACUGAAGGCGAAAGACUAGAUAGAAGCACUACAGUGUAAAGAGAUUACACGACUGUACCCUGUCGCACUUAAAAUAGUAUGUGGGGACUUACAAUCGCAUUUUCACAAAAUAAACAUCUCAUGUCAAACACCAGAUAA